CAGAUAAGGAGCUUGCUCCUUUGACGUUAGCGGCGGACGGGUGAGUAACACGUGGAUAACCUACCUAUAAGACUGGGAUAACUUCGGGAAACCGGAGCUAAUACCGGAUAACAUAUUGAACCGCAUGGUUCAAUAGUGAAAGGCGGCUUUGCUGUCACUUAUAGAUGGAUCCGCGCCGUAUUAGCUAGUUGGUAAGGUAACGGCUUACCAAGGCAACGAUACGUAGCCGACCUGAGAGGGUGAUCGGCCACACUGGAACUGAGACACGGUCCAGACUCCUACGGGAGGCAGCAGUAGGGAAUCUUCCGCAAUGGGCGAAAGCUGACGGAGCAACGCCGCGUGAGUGAUGAAGGUCUUCGGAUCGUAAAACUCUGUUAUCAGGGAAGAACAAAUGUGUAAGUAACUGUGCACAUCUUGACGGUACCUGAUCAGAAAGCCACGGCUAACUACGUGCCAGCAGCCGCGGUAAUACGUAGGUGGCAAGCGUUAUCCGGAAUUAUUGGGCGUAAAGCGCGCGUAGGCGGUUUUUUAAGUCUGAUGUGAAAGCCCACGGCUCAACCGUGGAGGGUCAUUGGAAACUGGAAAACUUGAGUGCAGAAGAGGAAAGUGGAAUUCCAUGUGUAGCGGUGAAAUGCGCAGAGAUAUGGAGGAACACCAGUGGCGAAGGCGACUUUCUGGUCUGUAACUGACGCUGAUGUGCGAAAGGUGGGGGAUCAAACAGGAUUAGAUACCCUGGUAGUCCACGCCGUAAACGAUGAGUGCUAAGUGUUAGGUGGUUUCCCCCUUAGUGCUGCAGUAACGCAUUAAGCACUCCGCUGGGGAGUACGCCCCAA
Molecule: ribosomal RNA, 833 nt
Filed under: Staphylococcus sp. Ob 12a
Lineage: Bacteria; Bacillati; Bacillota; Bacilli; Caryophanales; Staphylococcaceae
Description: bacterial SSU rRNA
Rfam family: Bacterial small subunit ribosomal RNA
Source: RNAcentral